GAAGUCGAAGAGGCUCAUAGAGAAUUAGAAUGUUUCAGAGAAUUUUUCUCAUGAGAAGCAAAACAGUAGCUUUCUUAUAUAUAAUUCAUCAUCCCACCUGGUUAUUUAUAGCUAUCACAGAUAUCAGAAGUAAUAUUGAAGGGUUUCCUACUAUAGAGCAUCCUGAAGGUCAUCUGCUGAAGGAGAGCUAAAACCUGGCAGGGGUCGUGACUGUCAUAACUGCCUAAUCAUCUGGGAUCAGACCAAAUCACCCAGGUUACUAUUGAUAGCAUCCUUUGUGACUGCGUGCAGGCUAGCCUGCAAGUAUGGAAGUUGUGAAGAAGUAUUAGCAAGGAAUUGAAGGUCACGGGCUGCUGCUGGCUACUGUGACGUGAAGCUGACAGCCUCAAUCAGCCGGGUGCAGUGCGCUGGUUUGCCAGCAUAUGGAACUCAGUACAGUGUGAUGAACCACUCCCUCAGCAUCACUGGGCACAUCUGCACUGCACGUGAUGAAACUGUGCUAUAAAGGCACAGGGGAAAAAAGCACCAGGAUACAUGAAACA
Molecule: long non-coding RNA, 542 nt
Organism: Pipra filicauda (Wire-tailed manakin)
Lineage: Eukaryota; Metazoa; Chordata; Aves; Passeriformes; Pipridae
Exons: 3
Source: RefSeq, a predicted model, not a curated record